This 87-nucleotide transfer RNA is filed under the name Gammaproteobacteria bacterium. RNAcentral describes it as "tRNA-Leu". It matches the Rfam family "tRNA". From Rfam's summary of the family: Transfer RNA (tRNA) molecules are approximately 80 nucleotides in length. Their secondary structure includes four short double-helical elements and three loops (D, anti-codon, and T loops). Further hydrogen bonds mediate the characteristic L-shaped molecular structure. tRNAs have two regions of fundamental functional importance: the anti-codon, which is responsible for specific mRNA codon recognition, and the 3' end, to which the tRNAs corresponding amino acid is attached (by aminoacyl-tRNA synthetases). tRNAs cope with the degeneracy of the genetic code in two manners: having more than one tRNA (with a specific anti-codon) for a particular amino acid; and 'wobble' base-pairing, i.e. permitting non-standard base-pairing at the 3rd anti-codon position. The record is from RNAcentral. RNAcentral also lists the same sequence under 1 other name. Lineage: Bacteria; Pseudomonadati; Pseudomonadota; Gammaproteobacteria.
GCCGGAGUGGUGAAAUUGGUAGACACGCCGGAUUCAAAAUCCGGUGCCCUUAAAAGCGUGCCGGUUCAAGUCCGGCCUCCGGUACCA